Molecule: ribosomal RNA, 492 nt
Filed under: uncultured bacterium
Lineage: Bacteria
Description: partial 16S ribosomal RNA
Rfam family: Bacterial small subunit ribosomal RNA
Source: RNAcentral
AGUGAACGCUGGCGGUAGGCCUAACACAUGCAAGUCGAACGGCAGCACAGUAAGAGCUUGCUCUUACGGGUGGCGAGUGGCGGACGGGUGAGGAAUACAUCGGAAUCUACUUUUUCGUGGGGGAUAACGUAGGGAAACUUACGCUAAUACCGCAUACGACCUACGGGUGAAAGCAGGGGAUCUUCGGACCUUGCGCGAUUGAAUGAGCCGAAGUCGGAUUAGCUAGUUGGCGGGGUAAAGGCCCACCAAGGCGACGAUCCGUAGCUGGCCUGAGAGGAUGAUCAGCCACACUGGAACUGAGACACGGUCCAGACUCCUACGGGAGGCAGCAGUGGGGAAUAUUGGACAAUGGGCGCAAGCCUGAUCCAGCCAUACCGCGUGGGUGAAGAAGGCCUUCGGGUUGUAAAGCCCUUUUGUUGGGAAAGAAAAGCAGCAGGUUAAUACCCCGCUGUUCUGACGGUACCCAAAGAAUAAGCACCGGCUAACUUCGUG